RNAcentral lists this ribosomal RNA (406 nucleotides) under uncultured bacterium. Its description in RNAcentral is "partial 16S ribosomal RNA". It matches the Rfam family "Bacterial small subunit ribosomal RNA", at positions 30 to 526 of the family's 1533-position model. The record is from RNAcentral.
AUUGAACGCUGGCGGCAGGCCUAACACAUGCAAGUCGAACGAGUGGCGGACGGGUGAGUAAUGUCUGGGAAACUGCCUGAUGGAGGGGGAUAACUACUGGAAACGGUAGCUAAUACCGCAUACCAUCAGAUGUGCCCAGAUGGGAUUAGCUAGUUGGUGGGGUACAGGCCUACCAAGGCGAAGAUCCGUACCUGGUCUGAGAGGAUGAGCAGCCACACGGGAACUGAUACACGGUCCAGACUCCUACGAGAGGCAGCAGUGGGGAAUAUUGGACAAUGGGCGGAAGCCUGAUGCAGCCAUGCCGCGUGUGUGAAGAAGGUCUUCGGAUUGUAAAGUACUUUCAGCGGGGAGGCGUUACCCGCAGAAGAAGCACCGGCUAACUCCGUGCCAGCAGCCGCGGUAAUAC